Long non-coding RNA from Acromyrmex echinatior (Panamanian leafcutter ant), 399 nucleotides. Lineage: Eukaryota; Metazoa; Arthropoda; Insecta; Hymenoptera; Formicidae. The record is from RefSeq and is a predicted model, not a curated record.
GGCGUCUCGGAAGGCAAGGACGAAAAAAGCCUUCCCUUCCAAAGAAUUCGCGAAAGAACGCCUUUAAAUUCACAGUCCUAAGACCGAAUGGAGUCGAAGGAAAGUGCAGCCGGCCGAAUUAACAGCGCCGCGUUUUUCUCUUCGUAUUCGAGAUGGUGAAUGCUGCAAUAUCCUAUUUUUUUCUAUUUAAAUCUAUUAAUAUAUGGAAUAAAGAUGGAUAGAAAUAGAUGUUACCACACGUAAUCACGAAUAUGAUUCCUUCCUCUGCAUGAAGAAGUCUACCGUACACUUGGCAUAGACAGAAUGAAACGUGUGAAUAGAUAGUGUCAUAAAGUGUAGAUAAAAAAAUUAAAAUGUGAAUACAGAUAGUGUCAUAAAGUGUAGAUAAAAAAAUAAAUA